This 899-nucleotide ribosomal RNA is filed under the name Ascochyta italica (nom. illeg.). RNAcentral's name for it is "eukaryotic LSU rRNA". It matches the Rfam family "Eukaryotic large subunit ribosomal RNA", at positions 51 to 967 of the family's 3401-position model. Lineage: Eukaryota; Fungi; Ascomycota; Dothideomycetes; Pleosporales; Didymellaceae. The record is from RNAcentral.
CGGAGGAAAAGAAACCAACAGGGAUUGCCCUAGUAACGGCGAGUGAAGCGGCAACAGCUCAAAUUUGAAAUCUGGCGUCUUUGGCGUCCGAGUUGUAAUUUGCAGAGGGCGCUUUGGCAUUGGCAGCGGUCCAAGUUCCUUGGAACAGGACGUCACAGAGGGUGAGAAUCCCGUACGUGGUCGCUAGCCUUUACCGUGUAAAGCCCCUUCGACGAGUCGAGUUGUUUGGGAAUGCAGCUCUAAAUGGGAGGUAAAUUUCUUCUAAAGCUAAAUACUGGCCAGAGACCGAUAGCGCACAAGUAGAGUGAUCGAAAGAUGAAAAGCACUUUGGAAAGAGAGUUAAAAAGCACGUGAAAUUGUUGAAAGGGAAGCGCUUGCAGCCAGACUUGCCUGUAGUUGCUCAUCCGGGUUUCUACCCGGUGCACUCUUCUACAGGCAGGCCAGCAUCAGUUUGGGCGGUUGGAUAAAGGUCUCUGUCAUGUACCUCCCUUCGGGGAGAACUUAUAGGGGAGACGACAUGCAGCCAGCCUGGACUGAGGUCCGCGCAUCUGCUAGGAUGCUGGCGUAAUGGCUGUAAGCGGCCCGUCUUGAAACACGGACCAAGGAGUCUAACAUCUAUGCGAGUGUUUGGGUGUCAAGCCCGAGCGCGUAAUGAAAGUGAACGGAGGUGGGAACCUUUCGGGGUGCACCAUCGACCGAUCCUGAUGUCUUCGGAUGGAUUUGAGUAAGAGCAUAGCUGUUGGGACCCGAAAGAUGGUGAACUAUGCUUGAAUAGGGUGAAGCCAGAGGAAACUCUGGUGGAGGCUCGCAGCGGUUCUGACGUGCAAAUCGAUCGUCAAAUUUGGGGCAUAGGGGCGAAAGACUAAUCGAACUAUCUAGUAGCUGGUUCCUGCCGAGUU